This 303-nucleotide ribosomal RNA is filed under the name uncultured bacterium. RNAcentral's name for it is "partial 16S ribosomal RNA". It matches the Rfam family "Bacterial small subunit ribosomal RNA", at positions 507 to 808 of the family's 1533-position model. The record is from RNAcentral.
AGCAGUCGCCGCGGUAAUACGAAGGGGGCUAGCGUUGCUCGGAAUGACUGGGCGUAAAGGGCGCGUAGGCGGUUAACCAAGUUAGAUGUGAAAUUCCUGGGCUUAACCUGGGGGCUGCAUUUGAUACUGGUUGGCUUGAGUUCGGAAGAGGGUUGUGGAAUUCCCAGUGUAGAGGUGAAAUUCGUAGAUAUUCGCAGGAACACCAGUGGCGAAGGCGGCUAACUGGUCCAUAACUGACGCUGAGGUGCGAAGCGUGGGGAGCAAACAGGAUUAGAUACCCCCGUAGUCCCUGUCUCUUAUACA